This 200-nucleotide ribosomal RNA is filed under the name uncultured bacterium. RNAcentral's name for it is "partial 16S ribosomal RNA". It matches the Rfam family "Bacterial small subunit ribosomal RNA", at positions 1302 to 1500 of the family's 1533-position model. The record is from RNAcentral.
AGUCUGCAACUCGACUACAUGAAGCUGGAAUCGCUAGUAACCGCGAAUCAGAAUGUCGCGGUGAAUACGUUCCCGGGUCUUGUACACACCGCCCGUCACACCAUGGGAGUCAGUAACGCCCGAAGCCGGUGACCCAACCGAUAAGGAGGGAGCCGUCGAAGGUGGGACCGAUAACUGGGGUGAAGUCGUAACAAGGUAUC